AGAGUUUGAUCAUGGCUCAGGACGAACGCUGGCGGCGCGCUUAACACAUGCAAGUCGAGCGAGAACCAGGCCUUCGGGCUUGGGGAAAGCGGCGAACGGAUGAGUAACACGUGGGCAACCCACCCUUGGUACUGGGAUAGCCCGGGGAAACCCGGAUUAAUACCGGAUGGCCCAACAGCUCUUCGGGGCGGUUGGAAAAGGUAGCUUCGGCCUCCGACCAAGGACGGGCCCGCGGCGGAUUAGCUUGUUGGUGGGGUAACGGCCUACCAAGGCGACGAUCCGUAGCUGGUCUGAGAGGACGAUCAGCCACACUGGGACUGAGACACGGCCCAGACUCCUACGGGAGGCAGCAGUGGGGAAUCUUGCGCAAUGGACGACAGUCUGACGCAGCGACGCCGCGUGGGGGAAGAAGGCUUUCGGGUUGUAAACCCCUUUCAGAAAGGACGAAGCCACUCGGGUGAAUAGCCCAGAGGGUGACGGUACUUUCAGAAGAAGCCCCGGCUAACUACGUGCCAGCAGCCGCGGUAAUACGUAGGGGGCAAGCGUUGUCCGGAUUUAUUGGGCGUAAAGAGCGUGUAGGCGGCCAUGUAGGUCCGUUGUGAAAACUCGAGGCUCAACCUCGAGACGCCGAUGGAAACCAUAUGGCUAGAGUCCGGAAGAGGAGAGUGGAAUUCCCGGUGUAGCGGUGAAAUGCGCAGAUAUCGGGAAGAACACCCGUGGCUAAAGGCGGCUCUCUAGUACGGUACUGACGCUGAGACGCGAAAGCGUGGGGAGCGAACAGGAUUAGAUACCCUGGUAGUCCACGCCGUAAACGAUGGGUGCUAGGUGUAGGGGGUGUCGACUCCCUCUGUGCCGAAGCUAACGCAUUAGCACCCCCGCCUGGGGAGUACGGUCGCAAGACUAAAACUCAAGGAAUUGACGGGGGCCCGCACAAGCAG
This 938-nucleotide ribosomal RNA is filed under the name uncultured bacterium. Its description in RNAcentral is "bacterial SSU rRNA". It matches the Rfam family "Bacterial small subunit ribosomal RNA", at positions 8 to 932 of the family's 1533-position model. The record is from RNAcentral.